GGGGACGACAGGAAUCGAUGGGAUAGUACGUUUACAGAUGCAAGCCUCCUUUGGUAAUAGGGGUUAAACAGACCAAAAUACAACUGUCAAUAAAGAAGACAAGUUACUUGGUUUCGUGGCUAGUGGAGUCAAAUCCUUGGCUAACGAUAUCAAAUCUUUCGCUCCUGUUUACGCUUUUGCCUAAACCGUAGCUUAAAGACGUCUUGAGAGCCGGCGGAUCCCGGGCUACUUUUAGGGCGAUAAAAUACCGGAUUGAAUGCUUCAAGUUUGAUUUAGGCUUGAGGACUAACUUAUUCUAAAUCGACCAUAAAGUGUUCUUGUUUGCCUGAAGCUUUAUGGAAAAUCGGCAAUCUAAGCUUGUAGACUCUGUACUCAGAUUACUCCAGACGAGGGUUCGACUCCCUCCGUCUCCACAU
This 416-nucleotide transfer-messenger RNA is filed under the name Patescibacteria group. Its description in RNAcentral is "UBA10133 sp002789895 Standard tmRNA". It matches the Rfam family "transfer-messenger RNA". From Rfam's summary of the family: Bacterial tmRNA, also known as 10Sa RNA or SsrA, is named for its dual tRNA and mRNA-like properties. Its role is to liberate the mRNA from a stalled ribosome. RNAcentral also lists the same sequence under 4 other names. The record is from RNAcentral.